This 449-nucleotide ribosomal RNA is filed under the name uncultured bacterium. RNAcentral's name for it is "partial 16S ribosomal RNA". It matches the Rfam family "Bacterial small subunit ribosomal RNA", at positions 29 to 523 of the family's 1533-position model. The record is from RNAcentral.
AGCGAACGCUGGCGGCAGGCUUAACACAUGCAAGUCGAGCGGGCCUUUCGGGGUCAGCGGCAGACGGGUGAGUAACGCGUGGGAACGUACCUUCUGGUCUGGAAUAACCCUGGGAAACUAGGUCUAAUACCGGAUACGCUCUUUUGGGGAAAGGUUUACUGCCGGAAGAUCGGCCCGCGUCUGAUUAGCUAGUUGGUGGAGUAACGGCCUACCAAGGCGACGAUCAGUAGCUGGUCUGAGAGGAUGAUCAGCCACACUGGGACUGAGACACGGCCCAGACUCCUACGGGAGGCAGCAGUGGGGAAUAUUGGACAAUGGGCGCAAGCCUGAUCCAGCCAUGCCGCGUGAGUGAUGAAGGCCUUAGGGUUGUAAAGCUCUUUUAUCCGGGACGAUAAUGACGGUACCGGAGGAAUAAGCCCCGGCUAACUUCGUGCCAGCCGCCGCCGUAA